Molecule: small nuclear RNA, 102 nt
Organism: Phyllostomus discolor (pale spear-nosed bat)
Lineage: Eukaryota; Metazoa; Chordata; Mammalia; Chiroptera; Phyllostomidae
Source: RefSeq, a predicted model, not a curated record
GUUCGCUUGGGCAGUACACAUACUGAGAUCGGAAUGAUCUGAAGAUUAGUGUGGCCCCUGGGCGAGGAUGACAUGCAAAUUCAUGAAGUGUUCCAUGUUUCG